This 501-nucleotide ribosomal RNA is filed under the name uncultured bacterium. RNAcentral's name for it is "bacterial SSU rRNA". It matches the Rfam family "Bacterial small subunit ribosomal RNA", at positions 996 to 1496 of the family's 1533-position model. The record is from RNAcentral.
AGAGAUGGUAAUGCAUCUUGUACUACGGUACGCAGGAGACAGGUGGUGCAUGGUUGUCGUCAGCUCGUGUCGUGAGAUGUUGGGUUAAGUCCCGCAACGAGCGCAACCCCUGCCCCCAGUAGCCAGCAUGUAAAGGUGGGCACUCUGAGGGGACAGCCGGGGAUAACCCGGAGGAAGGCGGGGAUGACGUCAAAUCAUCAUGCCCCUUAUGACCGGGGCUACACACGUGCUACAAUGGCGUAAACAAAGGGAAGCGAGAGUGCGAGCUUAAGCGAACCCCAAAAAUAACGCCUCAGUUCGGAUUGCAGCCUGCAACUCGGCUGCAUGAAGUUGGAAUCGCUAGUAAUCGCGGAUCAGAAUGCCGCGGUGAAUACGUUCCCGGGUCUUGUACACACCGCCCGUCACACCAUGGGAGUCGGGAAUGCCCGAAGUCGGUGACCUAACCGAAAGGGAGGAGCCGCCGAAGGCAGGCCUGGUAACUGGGGUGAAGUCGUAACAAGG